AAAAAUCCCCAACUCCUUUUUCCCGUCGUUGCUUCCUGGGAAUUCUCGUCCAGUCCGUCCCUAUCCCGUACACCGUCUAUCCGCCUCCGUCCUCAUCCGCUCAAGUCCCGAUCCGCGCCGCUGGCCGCGGCCAUCCGAGCUGCCACCACCGGCACCAAGCAUCCGACUCCAGCUUGGCCACGGCAACCCCGGACGCGGCAGAUGAAUCUUCCGGCUGGGCCUGGGAGGGUGAUGGCGGCGCUCGAGAUCUAGCCCAGCGAGGGGCCGCGCCGCUCCCGUGCAGGUGCUUCGCCGCUCCCACGCAGGUGCUCCACCGCUUCGAGGUGAUUUGUUCUGUGCGAUAUAUACGCAGUACGCUGCCUGCUUGCUAGGAUGCGAUUUGUUCUGUGCGAUGUCUGUGCAAUGCAUAGAUGUGAUUUGUUCCUUUUGUUCUCGUAUGCGGCCAAAGCCAGUAGAUACAAAGAAUCUAUCACUCAGAAACAUGAUUAAGUUUUUUUGAUUGUUUGUUCAAGUAAAUAAAUUCCCAACUGACCAACUUCUCCUAAUUAAGUUCUGGAACACGUUUGUUGCAUAGAUACUUGUUGACGUCAGAUUUUGACACGUAUGGAAUCGGCGUCAAAAAAUAAAAGGAUUAGCCGAUGCGGCGAGUAAAAAGGGUGCGAUUGGGAAUCGGCCGGUUGGUGCUACAGUUGGAGAUCAGCCGAUUGGCGCUGCAGUGUUUUGGCGGACGGAGUUGGUAGAAAUCGGCCGAUUAAGAGGCUGGGGCAAUUGGGCCAAUACGGGCUUAAAGUGAAUUACAAAGAGAAGAUAAAGGAGGAUUGGCCCACAGGAGCACAACGACCAACUCCGAUGCGAGUUGUAAUUGUAAAUAUUUGUUUUCGUUUAAAAUUAGAGAUAGAAUCCUAGUCGGUUAAAAGAUUGGUUCUAACAGGCUAUAAAUAGCCAUCCUUAGAGAUCUGUAAAAACAACAUCAAAUCAAUACAACAAUCUACUAUUGCCUCGUA
Molecule: long non-coding RNA, 1004 nt
Filed under: Setaria italica (foxtail millet)
Lineage: Eukaryota; Viridiplantae; Streptophyta; Magnoliopsida; Poales; Poaceae
Description: long non-coding RNA (SITA_LNC002106)
Source: RNAcentral